This 318-nucleotide ribosomal RNA is filed under the name Sclerophrys funerea. Its description in RNAcentral is "partial 12S ribosomal RNA". It matches the Rfam family "Bacterial small subunit ribosomal RNA", at positions 899 to 1384 of the family's 1533-position model. Lineage: Eukaryota; Metazoa; Chordata; Amphibia; Anura; Bufonidae. The record is from RNAcentral.
ACCCAAAGGACUUGACGGUACCCCAUAUCCCCCUAGAGGAGCCUGUCCUAUAAUCGAUAAUCCACGUUUAACCUCACCAUUUUUAGUUAAUCAGCCUGUAUACCUCCGUCGUCAGCUUACCACGUGAGCGCCAAUUAGUGAGCCCAAUGUUAUUUCACCAACACGUCAGGUCAAGGUGCAGCAAAUGAAAUGGGAAGAGAUGGGCUACACUUUCUAUUAUAGAAGAAACGAAAAACUACCUAUGAAACCUAGUUGGAAGGCGGAUUUAGCAGUAAAAAGAAAUCAGCAUAUUCAUUUUAACCCGGCACUGGGGUGUGU